UACGAAGGGGGCUAGCGUUGUUCGGAAUUACUGGGCGUAAAGCGCACGUAGGCGGACUAUUAAGUCAGGGGUGAAAUCCCGGGGCUCAACCCCGGAACUGCCUUUGAUACUGGUAGUCUCGAGUCCGGAAGAGGUGAGUGGAGUUCCGAGUGUAGAGGUGAAAUUCGUAGAUAUUCGGAGGAACACCAGUGGCGAAGGCGGCUCACUGGCCCGAUACUGACGCUGAGGCACGAAAGCGUGGGGAGCAAACAGG
RNAcentral lists this ribosomal RNA (253 nucleotides) under uncultured bacterium. RNAcentral's name for it is "partial 16S ribosomal RNA". It matches the Rfam family "Bacterial small subunit ribosomal RNA", at positions 524 to 776 of the family's 1533-position model. The record is from RNAcentral.